GGGCGGUUAGCUCAGUUGGUUAGAGCGCUGGUCUCACAUACCAGAGGUGAGAGGUUCGAUCCCUCUACCGCCCA
Molecule: transfer RNA, 74 nt
Filed under: Candidatus Stahliibacteriota bacterium
Lineage: Bacteria; Candidatus Stahliibacteriota
Description: tRNA-Val
Rfam family: tRNA
About the family: Transfer RNA (tRNA) molecules are approximately 80 nucleotides in length. Their secondary structure includes four short double-helical elements and three loops (D, anti-codon, and T loops).
Source: RNAcentral